AGAGUUUGAUCCUGGCUCAGGAUGAACGCUGGCGGUAUGCUUAACACAUGCAAGUCGAACGGGGGUCUUCGGACCCUAGUGGCGGACGGGUGAGUAACGCGUGAGAAUCUAGCUUCAGGUCGGGGACAACAGCUGGAAACGGCUGCUAAUACCGGAUAUGCCGAAAGGUAAAAGGCUUGCUGCCUGAAGAUGAGCUCGCGUCUGAUUAGCUAGUUGGAGAGGUAAAGGCUCACCAAGGCGACGAUCAGUAGCUGGUCUGAGAGGAUGAUCAGCCACACUGGGACUGAGACACGGCCCAGACUCCUACGGGAGGCAGCAGUGGGGAAUUUUCCGCAAUGGGCGAAAGCCUGACGGAGCAAUACCGCGUGAGGGAGGAAGGCUCGUGGGUCGUAAACCUCUUUUGUCAGGGAAGAAGAACUGACGGUACCUGACGAGUAAGCAUCGGCUAACUCCGUGCCAGCAGCCGCGGUAAUACGGAGGAUGCAAGCGUUAUCCGGAAUCAUUGGGCGUAAAGCGUCCGCAGGUGGCAAUUCAAGUCUGCUGUCAAAGCCCGGGGCUUAACCCUGGAGAGGCAGUGGAAACUGAAUCGCUAGAGUACGGUAGGGGUAGAGGGAAUUCCAGGUGUAGCGGUGAAAUGCGUAGAUAUCUGGAAGAACACCAGUGGCGAAGGCGCUCUACUGGGCCGUAACUGACACUCAUGGACGAAAGCUAGGGGAGCGAAAGGGAUUAGAUACCCCUGUAGUCCUAGCCGUAAACGAUGGAAACUAGGUGUUGCCCGUAUCGACCCGGGCAGUGCCGAAGCUAACGCGUUAAGU
Molecule: ribosomal RNA, 815 nt
Filed under: uncultured Oscillatoriales cyanobacterium
Lineage: Bacteria; Bacillati; Cyanobacteriota; Cyanophyceae; Oscillatoriales
Description: bacterial SSU rRNA
Rfam family: Bacterial small subunit ribosomal RNA
Source: RNAcentral